CAUUAAGUGGCUGAAAGUAAGUGUUGGUCUCUUAAACCAGUUUAUAGUAAUUAACAAAUACUCUUAUUGA
RNAcentral lists this transfer RNA (70 nucleotides) under Tanna japonensis. Its description in RNAcentral is "tRNA-Lys". The record is from RNAcentral. Lineage: Eukaryota; Metazoa; Arthropoda; Insecta; Hemiptera; Cicadidae.